CGGAUCGGAGUCUGNAACCCGACUCCGUGAAGCUGGAUUCGCUGGUAAUCGCGCAUCAGCCAUGGCGCGGUGAAUACGUUCCCGGGCCUUGUACACACCGCCCGUCAAGCCAUGGAAGCCGGGGGCGCUUGAAGUGCGUUGCCGCAAGGCGCGCCCUAGAGCGAAACCGGUGACUGGGGCUAAGUCGUAACAAGGUAAC
Molecule: ribosomal RNA, 199 nt
Filed under: uncultured bacterium
Lineage: Bacteria
Description: partial 16S ribosomal RNA
Rfam family: Bacterial small subunit ribosomal RNA
Source: RNAcentral